AUACAGAGGGUGCAAGCGUUAAUCGGAUUUACUGGGCGUAAAGCGCGCGUAGGUGGCUAUUUAGUCAAAUUGGGAAUCCCCCGGCUUAACUUGGGAAUUGCAUUCGAUACUUGUUAGCUUGGGGUUUGGAGGGGGUUGGAAGAUUCCAGGGGUAACGGGUGAAAGCGGAGAGAUCUGGAGGAAUACCGAUGGCGAAGGCAGCCAUCUGGCCUAAUACUGACACUGAGGUGCGAAAGCAUGGGGAGCAAACAGGAUUAGAUACCCUGGUAGUCCAUGCCGUAAACGAUGUCUACUAGCCGUUGGGGCCCUUGAGGCUUUAGUGGCGCAGCUAACGCGAUAAGUAGACCGCCUGGGGAGUACGGUCGCAAGACUAAAACUCAAAUGAAUUGGCGGGG
RNAcentral lists this ribosomal RNA (395 nucleotides) under uncultured bacterium. RNAcentral's name for it is "partial 16S ribosomal RNA". It matches the Rfam family "Bacterial small subunit ribosomal RNA", at positions 523 to 918 of the family's 1533-position model. The record is from RNAcentral.